GCAGUGGGGAAUCUUAGACAAUGGGGGCAACCCUGAUCUAGCCAUGCCGCGUGAGUGAUGAAGGCCUUAGGGUCGUAAAGCUCUUUCGCCUGUGAUGAUAAUGACAGUAGCAGGUAAAGAAACCCCGGCUAACUCCGUGCCAGCAGCCGCGGUAAUACGGAGGGGGUUAGCGUUGUUCGGAAUUACUGGGCGUAAAGCGCGCGUAGGCGGAUUAGAAAGUUGGGGGUGAAAUCCCGGGGCUCAACCCCGGAACUGCCUCCAAAACUGCUAGUCUAGAGUUCGAGAGAGGUGAGUGGAAUUCCGAGUGUAGAGGUGAAAUUCGUAGAUAUUCGGAGGAACACCAGUGGCGAAGGCGGCUCACUGGCUCGAUACUGACGCUGAGGUGCGAAAGUGUGGGGAGCAAACAGGAUUAGAUACCCUGGUAGUCCACACCGUAAACGAUGAAUGCCAGUCGUCGGAUAGUAUACUAUUCGGUGACACACCUAACGGAUUAAGCAUUCCGCCUGGGGAGUACGGUCGCAAGAUUAAAACUCAAAGGAAUUGACGG
Molecule: ribosomal RNA, 547 nt
Filed under: uncultured Alphaproteobacteria bacterium
Lineage: Bacteria; Pseudomonadati; Pseudomonadota; Alphaproteobacteria
Description: bacterial SSU rRNA
Rfam family: Bacterial small subunit ribosomal RNA
Source: RNAcentral